CCUACGGGAGGCAGCAGUGGGGAAUAUUGCUCAAUGGGGGGAACCCUGAAGCAGCGAAGCCGCGUGAGGGAAGAAGGAUUUCGGUUUGUUAAGCCCUUUUUGCAGGGAAGAAAAUGACGGUACCUGACGAAGAAGCACCGGCUAACUACGUGCCAGCAGCCGCGGUCAUACGUAGGGGGCAAGCGUUACUCGGAAUUACUGGGGGUAAAGGGAGCGUAGGCGGGUAUGCAAGUCUGAUGUGAAAGCCUAUGGCUUAACCAUGGAACUGCCUUGGAAACUGUUGUUCUGGAGUGGAGGAGAGGUAGGCGGAAUGCCUGGUGUAGCGGUGAAAUGCGUAGAUAUCAAGAGGAACACCGAUUGCGAAGGCGGCUUGCUGGACUGUAACUGACGUUGAUGCUCGAAAGCGUGGGGAGCAAACAGGAUUAGAUACCCGAGUAGUC
This 440-nucleotide ribosomal RNA is filed under the name uncultured bacterium. RNAcentral describes it as "partial 16S ribosomal RNA". It matches the Rfam family "Bacterial small subunit ribosomal RNA", at positions 338 to 795 of the family's 1533-position model. The record is from RNAcentral.